GAGAAAGUUAGGCGGGGGAGUUUGUGCGGUCCGACAUUUUGGCUUUGCCUGUCCUGCAUUGAGGGAAGGAGAAUUGUCCGAAUCCGCACAUCAAAUAUGUAGUCAAUGUGCAUAAGUAACAAAAGAUUUAUUUUUUUAUUUUUAAAUUAAAGCAUAAAAGAAAGAGGGCUACAAAAACACGAAACUAGCAGGAUGAGGUUUAAAAUCCUAUCUCCCUUUGCCUUCUGCUUCUAGCUCUGCUUGAGUUGCCCUAGAUCUUUGCAGAACUGUUAAGCCCUCAGUGCUAGGGAACAAGGAGCCUACCAAAUCCCUCUGGUGUGUGCUGAGGCUCACUGAGGUGCCUGGCAGGUGCUGCUGAGGCGCGUGCUGCUGUCCAGCAUAAGGACAGUUGCACAGCACACUGUCUGAGGGCAGCUGCCUUGCAAAGUGGCGGAGGGUAUGGCGAAAGUGGCAUGGCGGAACGAAGUACCAGGCCACACUGGAGCAGGAACUUCGAGGGAAGCCUGAAAGGACGAGCUGUGGAAACAAAGCUUGUAAGUCUGCCAGACAUGCUGUACUUGGAGCAUAAGGAGGUUUAUGACAGUUGUUCCCAUCCACGUAGCUACUUGGCAUGCCACAGAGUAAAGUCCAUCCCCUGGUUUUCCUGUAGGGCAUGGCCAGCUUUGUCUUGCUGUGGCAUAGUAGAAGCCUAACAGUUGGAAGCAGAUAAAAAAUAAGGAUGGACAAUGUGUUGUAUAGUGAGCAACAGAAACAAUGGCAAAAUUCAGUCUCAAGGUCCAGUGAAUGGCUGCAUACUUCAAAGACUCUGGGAAUUUCAGACAACAACCAAGUACGUUCUAGU
RNAcentral lists this long non-coding RNA (841 nucleotides) under Gallus gallus (chicken). The record is from RNAcentral. Lineage: Eukaryota; Metazoa; Chordata; Aves; Galliformes; Phasianidae.